GUUUGAACUUGGAACCCUCUCAUUCCAUGACCCUUCCUUCUUAGAGGGAAAAAAAAAAGUAGAGGGAGAAAAUAGAAGAACGCCUAGAAUCACUUAAGUCAAUUACAGUCUUUGAAAUAUUAUAAUCACUCCAUCUACCCUCUUCAUUCUCUUAUGCCAUCAAUGCAUCUUGUGUCAUGCAGGUUGCUCUAUUCCUUUCCAUUUACUACAAAAUUUGGAAACAUUUUAAGUUUCUAACCACUUAUAAUUGUUUCUUUCCUUCUUGCUUCUCAUGAAGUUGAGGUCGAUAUAGACUUACAUUUUGUCGGAGUUGAUGAUCUCCGUUCAGGUCAAAAAAGACUGUACCUCUUUAAACGGAGGACAAUUCUUUUUUACUUGAUCCGAAAUCAUUGACUCAGACAAGACGAGAGUCUAUAUCUACAUCGACAUCAUGACAAUAAGAUCCAAUUGCAAAGACAUCUUCUAAUCCCUCUUCGUGAUCUCAAGCCGAAUUCUCGACAACACAAUUGGCAACUCAUUGGCCAGCGACAGACUUUUAAAUGGAACUUCGAUCCGCGACGGAUUAGUCUUUGACCUGUCGGGCGAUAUCGUGGGCAACAAAAAAAAAAUUUGAUAAUCAAGUUUUAUGCCUUUAAGAUUUUGUGUUAGCUACUAGCUAGGGUUUGGUUUGAUGCCACAAGUUUUUAGCCAUGUAAUUGUGAUAACCUAAAUUUGUGAAUGGCUAAUAAUUUUUCAUCAUUUUAACCUAACUUUGAUUGGGAUGCAUGGGUAUUUUAGGUUAACUAAAAAAAAUAAUUGCAGAUAAAUUAUUAUUAUUAUUAUUGCAUGUUGAUAAAUUACUGUAAUAAUGUAUGCACCGAAAUGUUUAUAAUUAUUAUUUUCA
Molecule: long non-coding RNA, 883 nt
Organism: Arachis ipaensis
Lineage: Eukaryota; Viridiplantae; Streptophyta; Magnoliopsida; Fabales; Fabaceae
Source: RefSeq, a predicted model, not a curated record